Molecule: ribosomal RNA, 485 nt
Filed under: Halothiobacillus sp. enrichment culture
Lineage: Bacteria; Pseudomonadati; Pseudomonadota; Gammaproteobacteria; Chromatiales; Halothiobacillaceae
Description: bacterial SSU rRNA
Rfam family: Bacterial small subunit ribosomal RNA
Source: RNAcentral
CUAUGAGAUGAGCCCACGUCUGAUUAGCUAGUUGGUGGGGUAAAGGCCUACCAAGGCGACGAUCAGUAGCCGGCCUGAGAGGGUGGACGGCCACACUGGGACUGAGACACGGCCCAGACUCCUACGGGAGGCAGCAGUGGGGAAUAUUGGACAAUGGGCGAAAGCCUGAUCCAGCAAUGCCGCGUGUGUGAAGAAGGCCUGCGGGUUGUAAAGCACUUUAAGUGGGGAAGAACGGGAUUGUGCUAAUACCGCGAUCCUUUGACGUUACCCACAGAAUAAGCACCGGCUAACUCCGUGCCAGCAGCCGCGGUAAUACGGAGGGUGCGAGCGUUAAUCGGAAUUACUGGGCGUAAAGCGCAUGUAGGCGGUUUGAUAAGUCGGAUGUGAAAUCCCUGGGCUUAACCUGGGAAUGGCAUUCGAUACUGUCAGGCUAGAGUAGGAUAGAGGAGAGGGGAAUUCCGCGUGUAGCAGUGAAAUGCGUAGAU